GGAAUCCCUCACAGGACAAGCUUCCCUAGCCGCGGCCGCUUUGGACGCGCGGGGAGGAGAGGGGAGGGACCUGACCGCGGCAGGGAAAUGCUAGUUUAACCCUUUUAUGAGUAGGAAGGACAGGGUCUAUGGCUUGUCUUGGGAACGACUUGAGUCCCGGUCCUGGUGCACUCCUUGUUAAUUAAUCUACAGGUGAUCAGCCAAGUUGUUGAGCCUCUCUUAUCAAGUCAGCUUCGAUAAAAUAGAAAUGAUAAGAGAACCCCACUGAAAUGCUAACGUUCAUUUGUGUAUUCUUUGCCUAACAUGUAGAGAAAGUUCAAACAAUGGUUUUAAAAUAAACAACCACAGUUAUCCAACGCAAGAGAUCAAGCCAAUGAAAGGUAGCAGAGGAAAGAUGCUACGAGUACUCAGAAAAGGCAAUGAAGGCCAGAGAGUCUGCUGGAACAUCGUGGAGGACGUGGAGCUUGUCCCUGGGUCUUCAACAAUAGGCAGAAUUUAAAUCCACUAGAGAAGCAUUUCAAAUAGCGGGAAAUGAGAUGAGCAGAGACAGAGGCAGAAAUAUAGAGUUCAAAGAGCUCUUUCAACGUGUCGAGAGUGAGCGACGACUUUCUGGGUGUGGGGGUAGAAGAAUUUACCAAGAGAGUGGGAGAUAAAGAAAGACAGAUUAAACAAAGUAGGAAAGUUCCUUGCCAGGGAGCAACGGGCAGAAUCAGCAAAGGAGGAGCUCACUGCCAGGAAACAAAGGCUUGUUGAGAAUUGUAUAGACUGGAACUUGGGGUGAUUGGUAACACCAAGGUGGCAGGGAGUUAACUUGCUUUUUGUUGCUGUUGUUAGCCCUUUGGUGUUUCAUAAAUUGAGGCGUUUGAAGGGUCUCACUCUUUCACCAAGGCUGGAGUGCAGUGUCCUAAAGAGAGCUCACUUCAAGCCUCCACUUCCUGGGCUCAAGCAAUCCUCCCACCUCAGCCUCUUGAGGAGCUGGGACCACAGAAAGCCUGUCUGCAUAGUGAGAAUGAAACCAAUACACUGAAAAAAACAGAGAAGAGAAAGAGGUAGAGACUUCAUCUGAUAUAAGCACGCCUAAAGCAAGGGACACCUAUGUGAUUCCAUCUUCGCAGGAGGUAGCAGGCAGCUCUUGUCGAGUUCAAGCCAGUUGAGACCACCAACCCUUCAACAGAACCUGCAUGGGUGCGUGAAGAGUGACCUUCUGAUGUCAAAGGGCCAAGGGCCAAAACCUGCAUCCUCUUUUCAUGCUAAUUCAACCAUUUUCUGAACGUGCAUCCUAUGAAGAGCCAUGUAGCUCAAUUAAGCUUGUGCAGAAACCCGGAUCACCUCACGUUCCCACCUGCCAAUCACUUUUACCCACACUUCACACCAUCCCGCUUUCCAUCCCCAUAAGUAUCCCUAAGCCCUGUUUUCAGGGAGGUGGAUUUGCAAUUUGUUCUCUGUCUCCUUUGCUCAGCAGCCUUGUGAGCCAUCUCACAAAAUAAAAUCUUUUCUCUUUUG
Callithrix jacchus (white-tufted-ear marmoset) is the source of this 1503-nucleotide long non-coding RNA. RefSeq lists it as uncharacterized. NCBI's taxonomy places the organism in Eukaryota, Metazoa, Chordata, Mammalia, Primates, Cebidae. The record is from RefSeq and is a predicted model, not a curated record.